GACGAACGCUGGCGGCGUGCUUAACACAUGCAAGUCGAACGCUGAAGCUUGGUGCUUGCACUGGGUGGAUGAGUGGCGAACGGGUGAGUAAUACGUGAGUAACCUGCCCUUGACUCUGGGAUAAGCCUGGGGAACUGGGUCUAAUACUGGAUACGACAUGUCACCGCAUGGUGGUGUGUGGAAAGGGUUUUACUGGUUUUGGACGGGCUCACGGCCUAUCAGCUUGUUGGUGGGGUAAUGGCUCACCAAGGCGACGACGGGUAGCCGGCCUGAGAGGGUGACCGGCCACACUGGGACUGAGACACGGCCCAGACUCCUACGGGAGGCAGCAGUGGGGAAUAUUGCACAAUGGGCGGAAGCCUGAUGCAGCGACGCCGCGUGAGGGAUGACGGCCUUCGGGUUGUAAACCUCUUUCAGCACGGAAGAAGCGAAAGUGACGGUACGUGCAGAAGAAGCGCCGGCUAACUACGUG
Molecule: ribosomal RNA, 472 nt
Filed under: uncultured bacterium
Lineage: Bacteria
Description: partial 16S ribosomal RNA
Rfam family: Bacterial small subunit ribosomal RNA
Source: RNAcentral